CCGGGUUCACGCCAUUCUCCCGUGUUCACGCCAUUCUCCCGCCUCAGCCUCCCGAGUAGCUGGGACUACAGGCGUCCGCCAUCACACCCAGCUAAUUUUUCGUAUUUUUAGUAGAGACGUGUUAGCCAGGAUGGUCUCUAUCUCUUGACCUCGUGAUCCGUCCGCCUCGGCCUCCCAAAGUGCUGGGAUUACAGGCGUGAGCCACCGCGCCUGGCCUUUUAUUUCUAUUCUUUUAGUAGUCUAGAAGAGGACUGCCAUUUAUUUUUAAUGCUGUGUCGGUAAUGCUGCUAGAAAUAUUCUUCACGUGUCAAAUGGUGCACCGAUGCAAGAGAUUUCUACCACGUAAACCCAAAACUGAAGUUGCUGUAUUGUAAGUGUUGAGGUGAGCAAGUUCUACAGCAGGCAGAUCAGCAAAUGGAUGAGGAAUGGUGGUGCCUUAGACCAGCCUGAUAACAGGAGAAGUGUUUGCAUACCAGAUACAUGUUGAAGAGAAUAGGCCUCACUAUGUUGCCCAGGCUAGUCUUGAAUUCCUGGGCUCAAGCAAACCACCUGCCUUAGCCUCCCAAAGUGCUGUGAUUACACAUGUGAGCCACUGUGCCCAGCCUAGAGGUAAGUGUCUUCUAAUGGAAACAAAUAAAUAGCUAGUGCCCUUAUAAUUAUGCUGAAGUAAAAUAAGCCUGAGAGAGAAAAUAACCUAUCUGGAAUCAAAUUAUUACGUGCAGUGUGGACAGUGUGGAUAUAGAAUUUGAUUAAACAUUUAAAUGAGCAUUUAAGAAAAUAACUAAAAUGUAAUUUUGAAGGGAAUUUUAAACAACCUCAUAUUUCACUGGAAUUGUUAAUCCUCCUGUCUUCACAUUUUAAAGGCUGAAUUAUUAAACAUUAUAAUAAUAUCUUAGUCACCUUAAGUGUCAAAUAAAUUACUUAGAGAAGUGAUCUGAGACUUUCAGUGAAUCAUUAAAGACUCCUUUUUUUGUGACUUAGUCCCUUCUCUCUGGAACAAAAUAACAUAUAUUUUGAUACAACACAUUGUUAAAAUCAGAAA
Molecule: long non-coding RNA, 1042 nt
Filed under: Homo sapiens (human)
Lineage: Eukaryota; Metazoa; Chordata; Mammalia; Primates; Hominidae
Description: HSALNT0141934
Source: RNAcentral